Molecule: ribosomal RNA, 450 nt
Filed under: uncultured bacterium
Lineage: Bacteria
Description: partial 16S ribosomal RNA
Rfam family: Bacterial small subunit ribosomal RNA
Source: RNAcentral
GUGGGGAAUAUUGGACAAUGGGCGCAAGCCUGAUCCAGCCAUGCCGCGUGUGUGAAGAAGGCCUUCGGGUUGUAAAGCACUUUUGUCCGGGAAGAAAUCUUCCAGGUUAAUACCCUGGGAGGCUGACGGUACCGGAAGAAUAAGCACCGGCUAACUUCGUGCCAGCAGCCGCGGUAAUACGAAGGGUGCAAGCGUUACUCGGAAUUACUGGGCGUAAAGCGUGCGUAGGUGGUUCGUUAAGUCUGCCGUGAAAGCCCCGGGCUCAACCUGGGAAUGGCGGUGGAUACUGGCGGGCUAGAGUGCGGUAGAGGGUGGUGGAAUUCCCGGUGUAGCAGUGAAAUGCGUAGAGAUCGGGAGGAACAUCCGUGGCGAAGGCGGCCAUCUGGACCAGCACUGACACUGAGGCACGAAAGCGUGGGGAGCAAACAGGAUUAGAUACCCUUGUAGUCC